GGUUUGUGGCUCAGUGGUAGAGUACUUGUCUAGCAUGUGUGAGGCACUGGGUUUGAUUCUCAGCACUG
RNAcentral lists this transfer RNA (68 nucleotides) under Marmota monax (woodchuck). RNAcentral describes it as "tRNA.Ala". Lineage: Eukaryota; Metazoa; Chordata; Mammalia; Rodentia; Sciuridae. The record is from RNAcentral.